RNAcentral lists this ribosomal RNA (253 nucleotides) under uncultured bacterium. RNAcentral describes it as "partial 16S ribosomal RNA". It matches the Rfam family "Bacterial small subunit ribosomal RNA", at positions 524 to 776 of the family's 1533-position model. The record is from RNAcentral.
UACGGGGGGGGCAAGCGUUGUUCGGAAUUACUGGGCGUAAAGGGCUCGUAGGCGGCCAACUAAGUCAGACGUGAAAUCCCUCGGCUUAACCGGGGAACUGCGUCUGAUACUGGAUGGCUUGAAUCCGGGAGAGGGAUGCGGAAUUCCAGGUGUAGCGGUGAAAUGCGUAGAUACUGGGAGGAACACCGGUGGCGAAGGCGGCUACCUGGACCGGUUCUGACGCUGAUGCGCGAAAGCGUGGGUAGCAAACAGG